AUAGGUAGUGGCGAACGGGUGCGUAACACGUGAGUAACCUGCCCCAUAGUUUGGAAUUCCACCGGGAAACCGAUGCUAAUACCAAAUAUGCUCGCACUAGCACAAGCUAGAGCAAGGAAAGAUUUAUCGCUUUGGGAGGGGCUCGCGGCCUAUCAGCUUGUUGGUGAGGUAACGGCUCACCAAGGCUUCGACGGGUAGCUGGUCUGAGAGGACGAUCAGCCACACUGGGACUGAGACACGGCCCAGACUCCUACGGGAGGCAGCAGUGGGGAAUAUUGCGCAAUGGGCGAAAGCCUGACGCAGCUCCGCCGCGUGGAGGAUGAAGGCUCUAGGGUCGUAAACUCCUUUCAGCAGGAAAGAAAAUGACGGUACCUGCAGAAGAAGCUCCGGCCAACUACGUG
RNAcentral lists this ribosomal RNA (401 nucleotides) under uncultured bacterium. RNAcentral describes it as "bacterial SSU rRNA". It matches the Rfam family "Bacterial small subunit ribosomal RNA", at positions 88 to 507 of the family's 1533-position model. The record is from RNAcentral.